This 715-nucleotide ribosomal RNA is filed under the name uncultured bacterium. RNAcentral describes it as "bacterial SSU rRNA". It matches the Rfam family "Bacterial small subunit ribosomal RNA", at positions 8 to 714 of the family's 1533-position model. The record is from RNAcentral.
AGAGUUUGAUCCUGGCUCAGAUGAACGCUGGCGGCAGGCUUAACACAUGCAAGUCGAGCGGUAACAGGAAGAAGCUUGCUUCUUUGCUGACGAGCGGCGGACGGGUGAGUAAUGCCUAGGAAUCUGCCUAAUAGUGGGGGAUAACUUGCCGAAAGGUAAGCUAAUACCGCAUACGUCCUACGGGAAAAGGAGGGGACUCUUCGGAGCCUUUCGCUAUUAGAUGAGCCUAGGUCGGAUUAGUUAGUUGGUGAGGUAAUGGCUCACCAAGACCGCGAUCCGUAACUGGUCUGAGAGGAUGAUCAGUCACACUGGAACUGAGACACGGUCUGGACUCCUACGGGAGGCAGCAGUGGGGAAUAUUGGACAAUGGGGGAAACCCUGAUCCAGCCAUGCCGCGUGUGUGAAGAAGGUCUUAGGAUUGUAAAGCACUUUAAGUUGGGAGGAAGAGCAGUUAACUAAUAUUUGACUGUUUUGACGUUACCGACAGAAUAAGCACCGGCUAACUUCGUGCCAGCAGCCGCGGUAAUACGAAGGGUGCAAGCGUUAAUCGGAAUUACUGGGCGUAAAGCGCGCGUAGGUGGUUCGUUAAGUUAGGAGUGAAAGCCCCGGGCUCAACCUGGAAUUGCUUCUAAAACUGGCGAGCUAGAGUAUGGUAGAGGGUGGUGGAAUUUCCUGGUAGCGGUGAAAUGCGUAGAUAUAGGAAGGAACAUCAGUG